Molecule: signal recognition particle RNA, 97 nt
Filed under: Ignavibacteriota bacterium
Lineage: Bacteria; Pseudomonadati; Ignavibacteriota
Description: Ignavibacteriae bacterium (activated sludge metagenome) signal recognition particle sRNA small type
Rfam family: Bacterial small signal recognition particle RNA
About the family: The signal recognition particle (SRP) is a universally conserved ribonucleoprotein involved in the co-translational targeting of proteins to membranes. Archaeal SRP consists of a 7S RNA and homologues of the eukaryotic SRP19 and SRP54 proteins. In most bacteria, the SRP consists of a 4.5S RNA and the Ffh protein (a homologue of the eukaryotic SRP54 protein).
Source: RNAcentral
UGCCAGGCGCUAGCUAACAGAUUGAUGCCCAACUCCGUCAGGUCCGGAAGGAAGCAGCGGCAAGUAUUCAGUUUGUGUAGUUAGUUGCUUGGCAUUU